UUUGUUUUUUAAUUAAAAACUAGAAUGAAAGACUUCACAUUUAAAUUUCUUWAUUAAUUUUAAAAUAAUUAACCUAUAUUAAGUAUAAAAAUAUACUUAUUAAAAAAAAAGACGACAAGACCCUAUUAAAUUUUACUUAUUGUUAAGCUGGGGAAGCUUAUUAAAAAUAAUUUUAAAUUAAAUAAAAAAAAUAUCUAAUAAAAUUAAAAUUAUAAACAAAUUACUAUAGGGAUAACAGCGUUAUAUUAUUUUAAAGUUCAUAUUUAUAAUAAAAAUUGCGACCUCGAUGUUGAAUUAUAUUUCUUUUAUUAACGCAACAGUUAUAAUAAUAGGUCUGUUCGACCUUUAAAAUAUUACAUGAUUUGAGUUCAAACCGGUGUAAGCCAGGUUGGUUUCUAUCUUUUUAUUAGAUUUUACAGUACGAAAGGACAGAAAAACUUUUAAUUUAAAAAUUUUUAUUAGCAAAUAUAUGCAUUAGACUUAGAAUCUAAUUUAUCUAAUUAUAUCAAUUGUAAAUUCAAGAUUACCUAUUUUAAGAAUCCUUAUUGCAGUUGCAUUUUAUACAAUUUUAGAACGAAAAAUUCUUAGAUAUAUCCAAAUUCGAAAAGGACCUAAUAAAGUAGGACUAAUAGGAAUUCUCCAACCAUUUAGAGAUGCAUUAAAACUUUUUAAUAAAUCUUUAAUUUCUUCUGAAAGAAGAAAUUUUAUAAUUUCUUAUUUGACACCAGCAAUAUCAUUAAUUUUAUCUAUAAUAAUUGUAGUAUUAUUACCCCUAUACUAUUAUUCCCCAUUUGAUAAUAAAAAUAAUAUUCUAUUAUUCUUUAUUAUUUCUAGUUUAUCUGUUUAUUCAAUUUU
Molecule: ribosomal RNA, 855 nt
Filed under: Anelosimus nigrescens
Lineage: Eukaryota; Metazoa; Arthropoda; Arachnida; Araneae; Theridiidae
Description: partial 16S ribosomal RNA
Rfam family: Bacterial large subunit ribosomal RNA (bases 104-406)
Source: RNAcentral